Molecule: ribosomal RNA, 527 nt
Filed under: uncultured bacterium
Lineage: Bacteria
Description: bacterial SSU rRNA
Rfam family: Bacterial small subunit ribosomal RNA
Source: RNAcentral
GACGAACGCUGGCGGCGUGCCUAAUACAUGCAAGUCGAACGCUUCUUUUUCCACCGGAGCUUGCUCCACCGGAAAAAGAGGAGUGGCGAACGGGUGAGUAACACGUGGGUAACCUGCCCAUCAGAAGGGGAUAACACUUGGAAACAGGUGCUAAUACCGUAUAACAAUCAAAACCGCAUGGUUUUGAUUUGAAAGGCGCUUUCGGGUGUCGCUGAUGGAUGGACCCGCGGUGCAUUAGCUAGUUGGUGAGGUAACGGCUCACCAAGGCCACGAUGCAUAGCCGACCUGAGAGGGUGAUCGGCCACAUUGGGACUGAGACACGGCCCAAACUCCUACGGGAGGCAGCAGUAGGGAAUCUUCGGCAAUGGACGAAAGUCUGACCGAGCAACGCCGCGUGAGUGAAGAAGGUUUUCGGAUCGUAAAACUCUGUUGUUAGAGAAGAACAAGGAUGAGAGUAACUGUUCAUCCCUUGACGGUAUCUAACCAGAAAGAAAAGGAUAAAUAAGUGAAAGAAGAAGAGGUAAGAA